GGGUCAGUAGGUUGGUCGUGCCACCGGUACGUACUGGUCUCACUGACUCCUCCUUCCUGUAGAUCCGUAAUGCCAUUAAUUUGGUGUUGCGGGGAAACAGGACUGUUACUUUGAAAAAAUUAGAGUGUUUAAAGCAAGCUAACGCUUGAAUACAUUAGCAUGGAAUAAUGAAAUAGGACGAUCGAUCCUAUUUUGUUGGUUUCUAGGAUUGACGUA
RNAcentral lists this ribosomal RNA (216 nucleotides) under Glomeromycotina sp. RNAcentral's name for it is "partial small subunit ribosomal RNA". The stretch from base 54 to 216 matches the Rfam family "Eukaryotic small subunit ribosomal RNA", at positions 700 to 864 of the family's 1831-position model. The record is from RNAcentral. Lineage: Eukaryota; Fungi; Glomeromycota.